AGCUCCAAUAGCGUAUAUUAAAGUUGUUGCAGUUAAAAAGCUCGUAGUUGGAUUUCUGUCUGGAGCGUCCGGUCGGCUCUCUUUGAGAGUGUGUACUUUGUGAUGUUCGAGGCAUUUUUUGUGAGGAUGUCUUUCUGCCAUUAAGUUGGUGGUUGGAUAGACUUGCAUCGUUUACUGUGAAAAAAUUAGAGUGUUUAAAGCAGGCGUUUGCUCAUUGAAUACAUUAGCAUGGAAUAAUAAGAUACGACCUUGGUGGUCUAUUUUGUUGGUUUGCACACCAGGGUAAUGAUUAAUAGGGACAGUUGGGGGUAUUCAUAUUUCAGCGUCAGAGGUGAAAUUCUUGGAUCGCUGAAAGAUGAGCUUAGGCGAAAGCAUUUACCAAGGAUGUUUUCA
This 393-nucleotide ribosomal RNA is filed under the name uncultured eukaryote. RNAcentral describes it as "SSU rRNA". It matches the Rfam family "Eukaryotic small subunit ribosomal RNA", at positions 587 to 972 of the family's 1831-position model. The record is from RNAcentral.